This 1694-nucleotide ribosomal RNA is filed under the name Macropharyngodon negrosensis (yellowspotted wrasse). RNAcentral's name for it is "16S ribosomal RNA". The stretch from base 106 to 1575 matches the Rfam family "Bacterial large subunit ribosomal RNA". Lineage: Eukaryota; Metazoa; Chordata; Actinopteri; Labriformes; Labridae. The record is from RNAcentral.
AGCCAAAUAGCUAGCCCAAACCCCUAAAACAAAAAAAUCACCCUUUAUAAACCCUCAUCCACUAAAAAUAUUAAGCAAACCAUUUUCCCCUCUUAGUAUAGGAGAUAGAAAAGAAUCUAAGCGCAAUAGAGAAAGUACCGCAAGGGAAAGCUGAAAGAGAAAUGAAAUAACCCAGUUUUAAGCUCAAAGAAGCAGAGACUAACCCUUGUACCUUUUGCAUCAUGGUUUAGCCAGCAAAAUUUAAGCAAAGAGUAUUUUAGUUUAAAACCCCGAAACUAGGUGAGCUACCCCAAGACAGCCUAUCAUAAGGGCACACCCUUCUCUGUGGCAAAAGAGUGGGAAGAUCUUCGAGUAGCGGUGACAGACCUACCGAACCUAGUUAUAGCUGGUUGCUUGAAAAAUGGAUAAAAGUUCAGCCUUCUUGGUUCUCCCCACACCUAGGCCUCACCUAAACCUGUCAACCGAGAAACUAGAAGAGUUAGUCAAAGGGGGUACAGCCCCUUUGAAAAAGGACACAACCUUCCCAGGAGGAUAAAGAUCACAAUAAACAAGGCCUAAUUUUUAGGUGGGCUUAAGAGCAGCCAUCCUAUUGAAAAGCGUUAUAGCUCAAAUUUACAGUUACUCGCCUUAGAUACUGAUAAUUUAAUCCUAACCCCUAAUUUUAUCAAGCUAUCCCAUGCCGUCAUGGGAGCAAUCCUGCUAAUAUGAGUAAUAAGGGAGCCCCGGCUCCCUCCCCUGCACAAGUGUAUGUCGGAACGGACCCCCCACCGAAACUUAACGACCCCAACAAGAGAGGGCAUUGAAUAAAAUAUACCAAACCUGGAAAAAUCCUCACAAAUAAAUCGUUAAUCCCACACUGGUGUGUCCAAAGGGAAAGGAUUAAAGAGAAAGAAGGAACUCGGCAAACACCCUAAGCCUCGCCUGUUUACCAAAAACAUCGCCUCUUGCAAAACCAACGAAUAAGAGGUCCCGCCUGCCCAGUGACUAUAAGUUUAACGGCCGCGGUAUUUUGACCGUGCAAAGGUAGCGCAAUCACUUGUCUUUUAAAUGGAGACCUGUAUGAAUGGCAUCACGAGGGCUUAACUGUCUCCUUUCUUCAACCAAUGAAAUUGAUCUCCCCGUGCAGAAGCGGGGAUACCCACAUAAGACGAGAAGACCCUAUGGAGCUUUAGACACCAAAGCAGCCUACGUCAAACACCCUUUCACAAAAGACCAAACUAAGUAGAUCCUCCCCUAAUGUCUUCGGUUGGGGCGACCUUGGGGAAAUACAAAACCCCCAUGCGGAAUGAAAGCAUGCUUUCACAACCAAGAGCUUCUGCUCUAAGAACCAGAACUUCUGACCAUCAGAUCCGGCAAAGCCGAUCAACGGACCGAGUUACCCUAGGGAUAACAGCGCAAUCUCCUUACAGAGCCCUUAUCGACAAGGGGUUUACGACCUCGAUGUUGGAUCAGGACAUCCCAAUGGUGCAGCCGCUAUUAAAGGUUCGUUUGUUCAACGAUUAAAGUCCUACGUGAUCUGAGUUCAGACCGGAGUAAUCCAGGUCAGUUUCUAUCUAUGAUAUGACCUUUUCUAGUACGAAAGGACCGAGAAGAAGAGGCCAAUAUUUCAAAUACACCUCCCCCACACCUAGCGAAACCAACUAAAAUAGGCAAAAGGGCAUAAAUAUUCUGAUGAUAGCUUGAAAACAUAGCAG